Long non-coding RNA from Haplochromis burtoni (Burton's mouthbrooder), 1744 nucleotides. RefSeq lists it as uncharacterized. The record is from RefSeq and is a predicted model, not a curated record. NCBI's taxonomy places the organism in Eukaryota, Metazoa, Chordata, Actinopteri, Cichliformes, Cichlidae. The transcript has 3 exons.
GAGGGCCCCGAAAAGCGCUAUAUAAAUGCAAUCCAUCAUUAUUAUUUUUACUACCCAGAGCUCGUGACCGGAGGUGAGGGUGGGAACGUAGAUUGGUGGGUAAAUUGACAGCUUCAUUUUUGUGCUCAGCUCUCUGUCUCUCACCAUGACAGACUGGUACAGCGUCUGCAUCACUGUGGACACCACCCCAAUGCGUUUGUCAGUCUCUCAGUUUCCUCUCCACUCACUCGUGAACAAGACCCUAAAACCUGCACUCAUUGGUGAAAAAUACAGGGCGCCAGUGGUGAACCUGCCAGUUCUGGUAUUUUAUAAAUUCGGGCCCUCAGACCAUGAAGUCUGUUUCUGAUUGUUUGGUUAGAGACAUUCACACCAGUGGCCUGCUCGAGAUCAUUAUGUAGCCUAGCAAUGCUCAUCUUGUUCCUCCUUGCACAAAGGAGCAGAUACUGGUCACGCUGAUGGGUUAAGGACCUUCUAAAAUCCUGUCGAGCUCUCUGAGUAAUUACCUGUCCUAGAAUCUCCUCUAUGCUCUUGAAACUGUGCUGGGAGAGACGGAAAACCUUCUGGACUAUCUGUGUGACCUCUGUAGGGUUCAGGCAUCCCAUCACGCUACCAGUAAUGACACUGGCCCCAGUCAAAUGCAAAACUAGCGAAAAGCAGUCAGAAAAGAUAAGGAGGGAAAAAGGUCAGUGUCCUCCAGCUGUGCAACCAUUCCUUUUUGUCUCGUUGUUGCCCCUCUAGUGCACUGUGGAUUUCAUUAACACCAAAGCAGCUGAAAAUGACUAACAACCUCCUCUGCUACUUUCCUGACCACAACAAUGUCCCACAAGUUUAACUGUCUUGAUGCUGUACUCGGAUUAAAAAGGGUUUUUUGCUGUUGUACUUAUACAGUCUUUUCUUUCUUUCACAGAAACAUUGCAGGGCCAAAGUGCUGGAAAAAAAGAGCGCAUCCUACACAUUAUAAUAGGUGUCCUUACCUUCACCAACUUCCUUUGGGCGGUGGCUUUUUACAUGUACACGCAGAGGCUUCAAAGGAGUAAUGAGGUGAGUGGGAGCUCAGAUGUGAUUGUUGCUUAAAGCAGAGAUGUAAGGAUGUCCAACUACACAUUUAAUCCAUAUUUAAUAUAAAAAUAGUGCAGUUUCAACAGUAUUCUCUCAGUUUUUCUAAAUCAUAAACAAAUGCUGCUAUAGUACAUGAAAGAAAUCUUCCAGCAUGGAUAAAUGUGUAAAAUUACAGAAAAAAGGAGAAUAAUUCCCAUAAAUUCACAAAAAAUUCCAGUUUUUCAAAUAAACAGUCUUCCUUUGUGGAAUUGAAAUUUACAGUAAUACUGAAAAGGAGGAAAUUUGAUGUUUUGUUUUUUUAAUGGUUAUUAUUGAACUCUUACCUAAUUACUUUGUUUUGUGUAUUAUGAUAGCAAGGUCUUUAUCAGUAGAGAAAAUUGUGAAAAGCUAUGACAAUACAGUAAAACGUCAGAAAUCUGAAACUUCUCCAUGUGUGUGAUACCUGUGGCUUAAAGAAUACAAGGGUAGGGCUGGGCCAUAUCAUACCGUUCACGGUAACAUCGGUAUAAUGUUGGGCAACGAUAAGAAAAUAUCGCGAUAGAAUAUGGGUGAAACACGCAUGUGCAGUGCCUUUGUUUUCAUACGCACAUGGCGGAAAAAGCAUGGCGGCGACGGAGAAUGAGAAGAGCGAAAGCGGAUUGAUGAAUGAAACCAGAACUGGGGUCCGUUCUUCGUACGUCGCUUA